CCCCCCCCCCUCGCUACUUGCUUCUACUACUAGCUCCCCCUAUUUGUCUUUGUCGUUGUUGUUGGUGGUGAACCGUGAAUUUAUGCUGGAUUGAUUGAGUGAGAGCUGUGAGUUCGCGCAGUAGAGGUUUGAUUGAGUGGUGCAGUGGGUUUGUUUGUUUUUUUUUUUUUUUGUUUUGUUUUGUUUUGUUUUUUUUUUACUUCUCUGAUGUGAUGCGUGUGUUGUGUGUGUGUGUUGUAAUGCUAUAGUGCGGGAUGGUCGUGAGUAGGAGACUAGUGAGUGUGAGCCGUGUGUUUUUUUUUUGGGGGGGUUUAGUUUAGUUUAUUGUGUCGUUUGUUGUCUGGUGAGAAGAAUUCGGCGACAGGAUGGGAGAUGGGGAUAGUGAGGAGGUGGGAUGCGAUGAUGCUGCUGCCCGGGAAUGCAAUGUAUGAGGAGUUGCAUCCUCUGCUGUGCCCACAUGCGUCGUGGCGCGUGGCGGCCGCGCGUGGGACAGCAUAGAAUGCGGAUCCUUGUAAAUUGGCUUGUGUCGUGACGGAGUUCUCUGAAUCAGGAGUGUGGAACGCAUUCUGCCUUUGUUGGAACUCGUCGCCGAGCGCGCAUCCGGCUCGAGCUCAUUCGACGAAGAAAGCGAGCGGCCAUCUUUGUUCUAGAUGGUGUUCGCGACGGCUGAGAACACUGCAAGCUGCUGUAUACCUUCUUCACGGAUUCCAGUCCUGGUUACUCUCAUCUCAAUCAGUCUCGUGGUCCAGCUUAGAACGGAGCUCCCUCCAAGACGACUUAAGCGCAAAUCCAUGGUAGAACGUCUGUGUGCAGCGCCGCUCUGAACUGGAGCAGCAGCGCUAAAACGCCAAACUCCGACAAAUUUGCCACUAUGUAUCGAAACCAUCCUCCCCACAUCGCAGCCCUUUUCAGAGAAAAAGAGAAAAAGAAAACAAAAUAGUAGCUUGAGUCAUCACUAGGUAAACACACGGCACACGCGCUGCGCCGGCCAAUAUUCGGAACGAUUCACGUCGAGCUCCGUCCAUUCAGCGGUAAGUCGGUACACUUCAGUGGUGGAGGUUCAUGGGGACUCUGAGCAAUUUGCAGCGUUGGAAUCUCGGUGACUCACACUUGUGCUUGUUCCCCCCUAACUCCCACUUUUGUUAAGGUAAUUGCAUCCACUGCAUUGCUUCAAGACGCUGUGCGAUGGUGAUUUGAGCACGUGAACAGUUUAGUUGUUGCAUUGACCUGGAACUCAAUUGGUUUGCAUGCGUUUGACUGUGUAAUAUUAACAAGUGGGUUGAAAAAGGUUUGUUUGAGUGAACAGUGUGUGCAUCCAGAGAAGAAGAAGAUAAAAAACUAAAAGAAACUAAAAAAACUAAAAAAACUAAACACACACGCACACGCACACACAACUAGCUUAUUAGGGUGAUGUGGGAGUAAAUUGGCAGUUAUUUCCAGUCUUAGGGAAUGUUAACAACACUCUUAAAUCCAAUAUAUGAAUUUUUACGUACAUAAAAAUUUGAACACAUAACGUGGGUUUUAUGCCCGUGUUGCUUUUCUGAACUACUCAACUGCAACAGCUAAUUUUAGUCCAAAUUUGGAUCAUGUUCGUUCAGAAUAAGACUUCAAAGAAUCCACCGUUGCCAGUUUCUAAAUGCGAUUAAGUCAGCGUUCCGAGUUUUUUUAUGUGGAUCGUUACACUUCGGUAUACUAGUCAAAGAUUGUGUUUUACAGAAUAACAAUCGUUCAUUCGAAACAAUGAUGGAUGGCUAAAAAUAAUAAUAAGUGUAGGAAUGUGCCUUCCUUUCAAAGCUCUACUUUCACGACUUAUUUCCAAUUCUACCUUCCAUUUCUUUAUCCCAUGGUCUGAAUAUACCAAAACAGUUCACUUCAUGAUUACUUCUGAAUAUGUUGUUUAUAUGGUGUUUUAAUUUAAUUAUCACUUUUUGGUUAGUGUUUACAAUUUAGAUUUUAAAUCUUAGUCUUCUAUGUGAUAUGUUUGUUUUCAGUCGUAAUCACUACGAUGAAAAUAAUUGCCCUAGGAUUAUUGUGGAUAAAAAUCAGAAGGCAUUGCAAUUUUGAA
Molecule: non-coding RNA, 2065 nt
Organism: Physcomitrium patens
Lineage: Eukaryota; Viridiplantae; Streptophyta; Bryopsida; Funariales; Funariaceae
Source: RefSeq, a predicted model, not a curated record